GUGAAAGUGACGGUACUUGCUCUUAUUUUUUCUAUCUAGAGGGGACUUUAUUGGCUGGGAAUGCCAUAAAUAUCUCUGAUUUUCGAUCUCUAUCAAGAUCUAAGAUCGUGGAAUGGAUAGAGGGGCAUAGCUGUCGGACCAAUGAGAUGGGCCCUUGGAUCUGUAGCUCUUUGGUGGUUAGAAAGACUUCCUUAUGACUCGUGGCACUCAAAGAUCUUCCCAACCCUUCUUCUUACCAGAGGUCUUUUUUUUUCUUCCUUCUUGCACACUAUUCAAACUUCCUCUGAUUGGAUGUACUUCUAGACUUGGACUGGCAGGUCAGCGUAGUCCCUUGGAAAAUUCUUAUUGAGGGAGAAGAUGA
RNAcentral lists this long non-coding RNA (361 nucleotides) under Elaeis guineensis (African oil palm). Its description in RNAcentral is "long non-coding RNA (EGUI_LNC007142)". Lineage: Eukaryota; Viridiplantae; Streptophyta; Magnoliopsida; Arecales; Arecaceae. The record is from RNAcentral.